RNAcentral lists this transfer RNA (72 nucleotides) under Helicosporidium sp. ex Simulium jonesi. RNAcentral's name for it is "tRNA-His". It matches the Rfam family "tRNA". Rfam says of the family: Transfer RNA (tRNA) molecules are approximately 80 nucleotides in length. Their secondary structure includes four short double-helical elements and three loops (D, anti-codon, and T loops). Further hydrogen bonds mediate the characteristic L-shaped molecular structure. tRNAs have two regions of fundamental functional importance: the anti-codon, which is responsible for specific mRNA codon recognition, and the 3' end, to which the tRNAs corresponding amino acid is attached (by aminoacyl-tRNA synthetases). tRNAs cope with the degeneracy of the genetic code in two manners: having more than one tRNA (with a specific anti-codon) for a particular amino acid; and 'wobble' base-pairing, i.e. permitting non-standard base-pairing at the 3rd anti-codon position. Lineage: Eukaryota; Viridiplantae; Chlorophyta; Trebouxiophyceae; Chlorellales; Chlorellaceae. The record is from RNAcentral.
GUGGGUGUAGCCAAGUGGUAAGGCAAAGGUUUGUGGUAUCUUCAUACGCGGGUUCAAGUCCCGUCAUUCACC